RNAcentral lists this unclassified non-coding RNA (295 nucleotides) under uncultured fungus. Its description in RNAcentral is "sequence contains ITS1". The record is from RNAcentral. Lineage: Eukaryota; Fungi.
CGGACUACCCGGGUUUCUAAUCCUGUUUGCUCCCCACGCUUUCGUGCCUCAGCGUCAAUUAUCGUGUAGUAAGCUGCCUACGCAAUUGGUGUUCUAUGUCAUAUCUAAGCAUUUCACCGCUACAUGACAUAUUCCGCUUACCUCCACGACAUUCAAGAUCUAUAGUAUCCACGGCAGUUUCCGAGUUAAGCUCGGAGAUUUCACCACGGACUUACAAACCCGCCUACGCACCCUUUAAACCCAGUGAAUCCGGAUAACGCUUGCACCCUCCGUAUUACCGCGGCGGCUGGCACCC